CCCCUCCACCCCCACACCUCCCCUCUGCCCUUACAGCUGAGUGAUCACAGCCUCUCCUUAGGUCCGGGUAUACUUGUUCCUCUGCGCUGCUGGAAGGUUCACCUGGGCCCAGAUGAUGACUAAAGGUCCCUUCUUCUGAGGAAAGAAGCAGGACUCAGAAACGCAAACCAAGCCUACGAAGAUGCACCCAGUUGCCCAACACUCUGCAGAGACUGGAGGCAGGCACGGCAGGCUUUCGCCAGGCGGACAAUCAGCAAUGAUCUUAACUGGGAAGACAGUGGCAAGACGGGAACACAGAGGGACUAUACCUAAAGAGGACACGUUGGCACCUUUAAAUUAAGUGAAGAAGCAAGCAGCUCUCUGAAGGACACGGACAUGUUUGACCAUGACCCCCAGGCAGAAAUGGAUUUCCAUCGUGAUCGGGGGCUCACACAUCAGCCUUACCAUCUGUGAUGUCCUGAUAGUUUUUACUCUGUCCUUUUCCUUUUCAUUUCUUUAUGUGUCAACCCACUAAAUUGAUUCUAUGACUAUGGAUCAUGGCUGAUAGCUUGAAAAGCC
This 558-nucleotide long non-coding RNA is filed under the name Vulpes vulpes (red fox). RNAcentral's name for it is "lncRNA (ENSVVUG00000011317.1)". The record is from RNAcentral. Lineage: Eukaryota; Metazoa; Chordata; Mammalia; Carnivora; Canidae.